This 133-nucleotide unclassified non-coding RNA is filed under the name uncultured fungus. Its description in RNAcentral is "sequence contains ITS1". The record is from RNAcentral. Lineage: Eukaryota; Fungi.
UUAUUUUGUUAUUAUCAAGACGUUCAUGACUACAAUGUUUGUAAAGGUCCGAAGACCACAGUGCACAGGUGUAUUGAAGGAUAAGUGCUUGCGCACAUCUAUAAUGAUCCUUCCGCAGGUUCACCUACGGAAA